Molecule: non-coding RNA, 107 nt
Organism: Colletotrichum acutatum
Lineage: Eukaryota; Fungi; Ascomycota; Sordariomycetes; Glomerellales; Glomerellaceae
Source: the annotation of a RefSeq genome assembly
GGUCUGGUGGUGUAGUUGGUUAUCACGUCAGUCUAACAGUACGAGAGUCUCGUUUCUCUCGCCUCUGCCCACACUGAAGGUCUCCGGUUCAAGUCCGGGCUAGAUCA